Molecule: unclassified non-coding RNA, 226 nt
Filed under: Hevea brasiliensis (rubber tree)
Lineage: Eukaryota; Viridiplantae; Streptophyta; Magnoliopsida; Malpighiales; Euphorbiaceae
Source: RNAcentral
GAAUUUGAAAGAUUGGCUUGGGGACAGGGAAGGAAAGAGAAAAUCGCUUGUCAACUUAUUAGAAAAGCGAAUCCUAGGAGGAGUAGCUACUUCGCUUGUGAAGAUGUCAAGAGAAACCAUAUGAAUAUGUUGGGCAAGUACUCCACAAAAUAUGAAAAUCUGCUACCUGCAGGUUCCCAGCAAAUUAUUGAUGCCAAUUUAUGAUCCAAUCGGAUGCCAAGACUAC